CCUACGGGUGGCAGCAGUGGGGAAUAUUGGGCAAUGGAGGAAACUCUGACCCAGCAAUGCCGCGUGAAUGAAGAAGGUCUUCGGGUUGUAAAGUUCUUUAGUCAGGGAAGAAUAACAUGACGGGACCUGAAGAAUAAGCUCCGGCUACAUACGUGCAAGCAGCCGCGGUAAUACGUAGGGAGCAAGCGUUGUUCGGGAUGACUGGGCGGACAGGGUGCGUAGGCGGUUAUAUAAGUGAGAAGUGAAAUAGCCAGGGCUUAACCCGGGUGCUGCUUCUAAAACUGUAAGACUUGAGUGCAGUAGAGGUUAGUGGAAUGACUAGUGUAGCGGUGGAAUGCGUAGAUAUUAGGAGGAACACCAGAGGCGAAGGCGGCUAACUGGACUGCAACUGACGCUGAGGCACGAAAGUGUGGGGAGCAAACAGGAUUAGAUACCCUAGUAGUC
Molecule: ribosomal RNA, 444 nt
Filed under: uncultured bacterium
Lineage: Bacteria
Description: partial 16S ribosomal RNA
Rfam family: Bacterial small subunit ribosomal RNA
Source: RNAcentral